AACGAACGCUGGCGGCAGGCCUAACACAUGCAAGUCGAGCGAGGACUUCGGUUCUAGCGGCGGACGGGUGAGUAACGCGUGGGAAUGUGCCCUUCUCUACGGAAUAGCCCUGGGAAACUGGGAGUAAUACCGUAUACGCCCUAUUGGGGAAAGAUUUAUCGGAGAAGGAUCAGCCCGCGUUGGAUUAGGUAGUUGGUGGGGUAAUGGCCUACCAAGCCGACGAUCCAUAGCUGGUUUGAGAGGAUGAUCAGCCACACUGGGACUGAGACACGGCCCAGACUCCUACGGGAGGCAGCAGUGGGGAAUCUUAGACAAUGGGGGCAACCCUGAUCUAGCCAUGCCGCGUGAGUGAUGAAGGCCUUAGGGUUGUAAAGCUCUUUCAGCUGGGAAGAUAAUGACGGUACCAGCAGAAGAAGCCACGGCUAACUCCGUG
RNAcentral lists this ribosomal RNA (433 nucleotides) under uncultured bacterium. RNAcentral describes it as "partial 16S ribosomal RNA". It matches the Rfam family "Bacterial small subunit ribosomal RNA", at positions 29 to 507 of the family's 1533-position model. The record is from RNAcentral.